UCCGUAGGUGGAUAAUUAAGUCAGAGGUGAAAUCCUGCAGCUCAACUGUAGAAUUGCCUUUGAUACUGGUUAUCUUGAGUCAUUAUGAAGUGGUUAGAAUGUGUAGUGUAGCGGUGAAAUGCAUAGAUAUUACACAGAAUACCGAUUGCGAAGGCAGAUCACUAAUAAUGUACUGACACUGAGGGACGAAAGCGUAGGGAGCGAACAGGAUUAGAUACCCUGGUAGUCC
RNAcentral lists this ribosomal RNA (229 nucleotides) under uncultured bacterium. RNAcentral describes it as "partial 16S ribosomal RNA". It matches the Rfam family "Bacterial small subunit ribosomal RNA", at positions 568 to 796 of the family's 1533-position model. The record is from RNAcentral.